This 736-nucleotide ribosomal RNA is filed under the name uncultured Mesorhizobium sp. RNAcentral's name for it is "bacterial SSU rRNA". It matches the Rfam family "Bacterial small subunit ribosomal RNA", at positions 1 to 778 of the family's 1533-position model. The record is from RNAcentral. Lineage: Bacteria; Pseudomonadati; Pseudomonadota; Alphaproteobacteria; Hyphomicrobiales; Phyllobacteriaceae.
UCUCCGCAUUCGAUUAGAGUUUGAUCCUGGCUCAGAACGAUCGCUGGCGGCAGGCUUAACACAUGCAAGUCAAACGCCCCGCAAGGGGAGUGGCAGACGGGUGAGUAACGCGUGGGAAUCUACCCAGCUCUACGGAAUAACUCAGGGAAACUUGUGCUAAUACCGUAUACGUCCGAUAGGAGAAAGAUUUAUCGGAGUUGGAUGAGCCCGCGUUGGAUUAGCUAGUUGGUGGGGUAAUUGCCUACCAAGGCGACGAUCCAUAGCUGGUCUGAGAGGAUGAUCAGCCACAUUGGGACUGAGACACGGCCCAAACUCCUACGGGAGGCAGCAGUGGGGAAUAUUGGACAAUGGGCGCAAGCCUGAUCCAGCCAUGCCGCGUGAGUGAUGAAGGCCCUAGGGUUGUAAAGCUCUUUCAACGGUGAAGAUAAUGACGGUAACCGUAGAAGAAGCCCCGGCUAACUUCGUGCCAGCAGCCGCGGUAAUACGAAGGGGGCUAGCGUUGUUCGGAAUUACUGGGCGUAAAGCGCACGUAGGCGGAUAUUUAAGUCAGGGUGAAAUCCCGGGGCUCAACCCCGGAACUGCCUUUGAUACUGGGUAUCUCGAGUCCGAGAGAGGUGAGUGGAAUUCUGAGUGUAGAGUGAAAUUCGUAGAUAUUCGGAGGACACGAGUGGCGAAGCGGCUCACUGGCUCGGUACCGACGCUGAAGUGCCGAAAGCCGUGGGGGAGCUAACAGGGA